Long non-coding RNA from Meriones unguiculatus (Mongolian gerbil), 1021 nucleotides. RefSeq lists it as uncharacterized. The transcript is spliced from 2 exons. The record is from RefSeq and is a predicted model, not a curated record. Lineage: Eukaryota; Metazoa; Chordata; Mammalia; Rodentia; Muridae.
AGCGGGCCGCGGGUUGGCUGGGUGCCUGCGCCGCGGCCGGGACCUGACAGGGAUGCUCACAUCUGGUGCUUGCGGUUUCCGUGGCCCUGAGGGUGGGGAGUCUCCGAACGAGGCUCUCAGGUUCUCAUUUGCAGGAUGUGUUUCUUCCCCAGGCCUCUGGAAUCAGAGACAGCAAAUCCGUGUUCAGGUGGCGGUUUGCACAGUACUUAGCCUUCAGCCCCCUCAGGUGUAAAACGGGAAUAACGAUGCGGUGUGCUUCGUGGCUGGCUCUGGGCGUGCUGCUCCGGCGCUGACGGGUGUCAGCUGGGGCUGCUUUCUGAACGUUCGUGAAGAGGGAGGCUCAGCCACGAGUGCUAACACGUGUCUGCAAGCGCAGAGCUCCGGAAGCAGGAGGAGAGCAAGAGGGGGGACAGUACGCUGAAUUGUGUGGAUGCCCCACAUUUUCAGUAGCCAUUCAUCCAAUCAUCACAUCUGAGCUGUUUCCGGUUCCUGGUUGUUACAAACAAGGAAGCAACGAACACAGUUAACAGCUGCAUCUCGUGGAACGUCGGUUCCUAGCUUUCUGGGGAGCCGCCGCACGGAUUUACAUAGUGUCGACACCUGUUCGUGUUCCCGCCAGCAACGGAUAAGCCCCACGCAUCCUCACCAGCAUGAGCUGUCAUUUAUUUUAUUGAUAUUAGCAAUUCUGAUUGCUGUAAGAUGAAAUUUCAAAGGAGUUUUAAUUUGCAUUUUCCUGAUGACUAAAAAUGUUGGACGUUUAUUCAAGUGUUUCUCAGCCCUUUGUCUUUCAACUCUUGAAAACUCUGUACUCUAUUGUUAUUUGAGUCAUUUCUUUCUUUCUUUCUUUCUUUCUUUCUUUCUUUCUUUUUCUUUCUUUCUUUCUUUUGGUUUUCAAGACAGGGUUUCUCUGUGUAGCUUUGGCUAUUCCAGACUCAUUCUGUAGACCAGACUGGUCUCAAACUCACAGAAAUCCACCUGCCUCUGCCUCCCGAGUGCUGGGAUUAAAGAUGUGGUGACACCA